GCCCCCGUAGCUCAGUGAACAGAGCGCUGGCCUCCGGAGCCAUAGGUCGCAGGUUUGAAUCCUGCCGGGGGCG
Molecule: transfer RNA, 73 nt
Filed under: Planctomycetota bacterium
Lineage: Bacteria; Pseudomonadati; Planctomycetota
Also listed under: 2 other names
Description: tRNA-Arg
Rfam family: tRNA
About the family: Transfer RNA (tRNA) molecules are approximately 80 nucleotides in length. Their secondary structure includes four short double-helical elements and three loops (D, anti-codon, and T loops). Further hydrogen bonds mediate the characteristic L-shaped molecular structure. tRNAs have two regions of fundamental functional importance: the anti-codon, which is responsible for specific mRNA codon recognition, and the 3' end, to which the tRNAs corresponding amino acid is attached (by aminoacyl-tRNA synthetases). tRNAs cope with the degeneracy of the genetic code in two manners: having more than one tRNA (with a specific anti-codon) for a particular amino acid; and 'wobble' base-pairing, i.e. permitting non-standard base-pairing at the 3rd anti-codon position.
Source: RNAcentral